RNAcentral lists this ribosomal RNA (221 nucleotides) under Prymnesium polylepis. Its description in RNAcentral is "partial Bacterial small subunit ribosomal RNA". It matches the Rfam family "Bacterial small subunit ribosomal RNA", at positions 700 to 923 of the family's 1533-position model. Lineage: Eukaryota; Haptophyta; Prymnesiales; Prymnesiaceae. The record is from RNAcentral.
GGGCGAACACCGAUUGCGAAGGCAGGUCACUAACAACGUACUGACGCUGAUGGACGAAAGCGUGGGUAGCGAACGGGAUUAGAUACCCCGGUAGUCCACGCCGUAAACGAUGGAUACUAGCUGUCGGGACUUCGGUCUCGGCGGCCAAGCGAAAGUGAUAAGUAUCCCACCUGGGGAGUACGUUCGCAAGAAUGAAACUCAAAGGAAUUGACGGGGACCCG